Molecule: ribosomal RNA, 430 nt
Filed under: uncultured bacterium
Lineage: Bacteria
Description: bacterial SSU rRNA
Rfam family: Bacterial small subunit ribosomal RNA
Source: RNAcentral
GUGGGGAAUAUUGCACAAUGGGCGCAAGCCUGAUGCAGCGACGCCGCGUGGGGGAUGACGGCCUUCGGGUUGUAAACUCCUUUCGCCAGGGACGAAGCGCAAGUGACGGUACCUGGAGAAGAAGCACCGGCCAACUACGUGCCAGCAGCCGCGGUAAUACGUAGGGUGCGAGCGUUGUCCGGAAUUACUGGGCGUAAAGAGCUCGUAGGCGGUUUGUCACGUCGUCUGUGAAAUCCUGCAACUCAAUUGUAGGCGUGCAGGCGAUACGGGCAGACUUGAGUACUACAGGGGAGACUGGAAUUCCUGGUGUAGCGGUGAAAUGCGCAGAUAUCAGGAGGAACACCGGUGGCGAAGGCGGGUCUCUGGGUAGUAACUGACGCUGAGGAGCGAAAGCGUGGGGAGCGAACAGGAUUAGAAACCCCAGUAGUCC